GACGUAGGGCGCGAGCGUUGUCCGGAUUUAUUGGGCGUAAAGAGCUCGUAGGCGGCUUGUUGCGUCGACUGUGAAAACCCGCGGCUUAACCGCGGGCUUGCAGUUGAUACGGGCAGGCUAGAGUUCGGUAGGGGAGACUGGAAUUCCUGGUGUAGCGGUGAAAUGCGCAGAUAUCAUGAGGAACACCGGUGGCGAAGGCGGGUCUCUGGGCCGAUACUGACGCUGAGGAGCGAAAGCGUGGGGAGCGAACAGG
Molecule: ribosomal RNA, 253 nt
Filed under: uncultured bacterium
Lineage: Bacteria
Description: partial 16S ribosomal RNA
Rfam family: Bacterial small subunit ribosomal RNA
Source: RNAcentral